UGCGGACGGGUGAGUAAUGUCUGGGAAACUGCCUGAUGGAGGGGAUAACUACUGGAAACGGUAGCUAAUACCGCAUAACGUCGCAAAGACCAAAGAGGGGGACCUUCGGGCCUCUUGCCAUCGGAUGUGCCCAGAUGGGAUUAGCUAGUAGGUGGGGUAACGGCUCACCUAGGCGACGAUCCCUAGCUGGUCUGAGAGGAUGACCAGCCACACUGGAACUGAGACACGGUCCAG
RNAcentral lists this ribosomal RNA (234 nucleotides) under uncultured bacterium. RNAcentral's name for it is "partial 16S ribosomal RNA". It matches the Rfam family "Bacterial small subunit ribosomal RNA", at positions 97 to 334 of the family's 1533-position model. The record is from RNAcentral.